Molecule: long non-coding RNA, 1895 nt
Organism: Cyprinus carpio carpio
Lineage: Eukaryota; Metazoa; Chordata; Actinopteri; Cypriniformes; Cyprinidae
Source: Ensembl
UGCAUUGUAGCUUAAACCCAUGUGGGUUUUCUUUUUCAUUAUCCUGUGUUUUAUUUGUGGUUUUUGAGUGUGAGGGUGUCACACAACACAUCCAUGUUGACAUCUGUCUGAUUCAGUGAAUGUCUGCCAAGUGACACAUGAAUUUUUUGCAAGAAAACUUUUUGGAAAGUAUGUCAGGACAAAUGAUUUUUGACAUUGACAGCAAAUGUCAUGUGAAGUGUUUCCCCUCUCCUUUAUUUUGCCAAUGUAAUUAUAUGGUUAGUUGCAUUAUUUUGUUUGCUUAGUUGUUCCCUGCUGAUUUUAGGUGGGAUAAUUUCAGUCAAUCAGGAUCAGCUGGCAGGAAAGGUUGGAAGAAGCCUUGCAAUUCCUAUUAGAUUCAAUACCAUCAGGAUCCAAACCUCAGCAGGUGGCAGAUCUCGAAUAUAUGAAUUAAAGAGCUUUUCCUGUGCUCGAAAUCUGCUGUGAAAUGUGUUAGUUUAAGAGAAAAUACAUUUUUGGAACCUUUCAGUGAACAGUUCUUAAAAGAACCAUUAUUCUAAAUUGAAAAGUUGGAUGUUAAAGGUUCUUCACUGAACCGUUGAUGGCAAUAAAGCUUUAUAACAGUAGGCAUGGAUGAAGUACCUUCUUCAAUCGGACGUGAUCAGUCCCUUCAGGGCAGGUCGGUCCAAUUGGCAAAGCAUCUUGCUGAGGCCUUCAGGCAGCUAUUUCCAGUCUUGAAGGUACAGCUCUUAUCUACUUGAAUGGGAAACGACUGCAUCUCCAAAAUUUUAGCCAUGAUGAUAAAAUAAUAAAGUGCAACAGUUGGUUUCCGUUUCUGUGGUUGCACUGCCACCCUUCUGCAACACGCUGUCAGGUUUACAAACGAUGGAAAGCACGUGUGACGACUGCACGAACGCUACAAUUAAUGCACGAUUUCUGGGAUCGAACAAAUCUGGAUUUAUUGGAUUUACCAAAAUUUGCAUGUGGUGAAAGAAUCCACCUCCAGCAAUCUGCAGCAUCAAACUCAUUGGUCUUCAGUGAAAGAUGUUGACUUUUAAUUGAUGGAUGGCCGCGGUGGCAAAGGGCAUGUGUUGACUGAAUUUGUCUUUGAUAUGAUGCAUCAUGCACCGGAGCAAUUUAUAUACAACAACAUGACAUAAAAACAAUUCUAUGCAAACAUGGAAUGAUCUUUAAAACCAUAACUGUUGCAAACGAAACUAUUGCAACACCAGUACAGCGACUGUAGACAUGCAGGUGAAUAGAGCUUCAAGUUGUUUGGUUCUGUAUAAAAUUAAUUUAAUGUUUUACCCAGUAUUUCCAGUCCAGAGCAACAGGCCGACUGUCACUUCUCCAAUUCCUCAAUCUUACUUUGUCUUGGCCUCCAUCCUGUAGUCUAUUAAAGUGUCUCUUACUUCAGUGUACUUCCUCCACCGUACAGUUUUAUGGUGUAGAGCGCUAACUCAGCACCGCAACCCUUAAAAAACACACUAGGGUUUUAUAGCAUCAAAGCAUGUAGACGUCCUGCUAUAAGAACAGAUGGUGCCAGACUGCUAAUGGUUUGCUGCUUCUCGCUCUGUGCUGUGCAUCUUGUAAUUGACCCUUUUAAAUCUACGGCGUCGGAGUGCCAACGCAUUACAUGUGCAUCCUUUUAAUGGAAUGUUUUUCUCCACCUUUUAAUUAUAAGAUGUCUGUACGUACGUUAGAGAUGGCGCAUCGGAGCUGGCUGUCAAGGCUGGACAGAUUUAUGGCCCUUCAUGCCCUUGGUUGGUAAUGAAUGUCAGCAAGAGUCUGCUAGCAUGUUUGCUUGAAUGUUAAUGUUUGUUGUUUUAGGGCAAUAUCUCUCGCAGUAGCCUCAAAAGCUUUUUUAACAUUUGGAAGAAGUGGCCUAAAUGAUGCUUUUAACAUUUAACGUGAUC